GGGGAAUAUUGGGCAAUGGACGCAAGUCUGACCCAGCAACGCCGCGUGAAGGAAGAAGGCUUUCGGGUUGUAAACUUCUUUUAAGGGGGAAGAGUAGAAGACGGUACCCCUUGAAGAAGCCCCGGCUAACUUCGUGCCAGCAGCCGCGGUAAUACGAAGGGGGCUAGCGUUGUUCGGAAUUACUGGGCGUAAAGCGCACGUAGGCGGAUAUUUAAGUCAGGGGUGAAAUCCCGCAGCUCAACUGCGGAACUGCCUUUGAUACUGGGUAUCUCGAGUAUGGAAGAGGUGAGUGGAAUUCCGAGUGUAGAGGUGAAAUUCGUAGAUAUUCGGAGGAACACCAGUGGCGAAGGCGGCUCACUGGUCCAUUACUGACGCUGAGGUGCGAAGGCGUGGGGAGCAAACA
Molecule: ribosomal RNA, 403 nt
Filed under: uncultured bacterium
Lineage: Bacteria
Description: bacterial SSU rRNA
Rfam family: Bacterial small subunit ribosomal RNA
Source: RNAcentral